UCCCGGGUCUUGUACACACCGCCCGUCACACCACGAGAGUUUGUAACACCCGAAGCCGGUGGAGUAACCUUUUAGGAGCUAGCCGUCGAAGGUGGGACAAAUGAUUGGGGUGAAGUCGUAACAAGGUAGCCGUAUCGGAAGGUGCGGCUGGAUCACCUCCUUU
Molecule: ribosomal RNA, 163 nt
Filed under: Staphylococcus aureus
Lineage: Bacteria; Bacillati; Bacillota; Bacilli; Caryophanales; Staphylococcaceae
Description: partial 16S ribosomal RNA
Rfam family: Bacterial small subunit ribosomal RNA
Source: RNAcentral